GACGAACGCUGGCGGCGUGCUUAACACAUGCAAGUCGAACGGUGAAGGGGUCUGCUUUUGUGGGCCCUGGAUGAGUGGCGAACGGGUGAGUAACACGUGAGUAACCUGCCCCCUUCUUCUGGAUAACCGCAUGAAAGUGUGGCUAAUACGGGAUAUUCUGGGUCUGUCGCAUGAUGGGUCUGGGAAAGAUUGCGCCUUUGGGUGUUUUUGGUGGGGGAUGGGCUCGCGGCCUAUCAGCUUGUGGGUGGGGUGAUGGCCUACCAAGGCGGUGACGGGUAGCCGGCCUGAGAGGGUGGACGGUCACACUGGGACUGAGACACGGCCCAGACUCCUACGGGAGGUAGCAGUGGGGAAUAUUGCACAAUGGGCGCAAGCCUGAUGCAGCGACGCCGCGUGAGGGAUGGAGGCCUUCGGGUUGUAAACCUCUUUCGCCAGUGAAGCAGGCCUGCUCCUUGUGGGUGGGUUGACGGUAGCUGGAUAAGAAGCGCCGGCUAACUACGUG
This 502-nucleotide ribosomal RNA is filed under the name uncultured bacterium. Its description in RNAcentral is "partial 16S ribosomal RNA". It matches the Rfam family "Bacterial small subunit ribosomal RNA", at positions 28 to 507 of the family's 1533-position model. The record is from RNAcentral.